UACAGAGGAGCCAAGCGUUGUCCGGAUUGACUGGGCGUAAAGCGCACGCAGGCGGAUGCGCGCGUGGGGUGUGAAAUCUGGCCGCUUAACGGCCAGGCGCCAUCCCAUACGGCGCGUCUGGAGUGAUGCAGAGGUCGGUGGAAUUGCCGGUGUAGUGGUGAAAUGCGUAGAGAUCGGCAGGAACACCCAGGGGGAAACCAGCCGACUGGGCAUCUACUGACGCUGAGGUGCGAGAGCGUGGGGAGCGAGCCGG
Molecule: ribosomal RNA, 253 nt
Filed under: uncultured bacterium
Lineage: Bacteria
Description: partial 16S ribosomal RNA
Rfam family: Bacterial small subunit ribosomal RNA
Source: RNAcentral